This 86-nucleotide transfer RNA is filed under the name Candidatus Moraniibacteriota bacterium. Its description in RNAcentral is "tRNA-Leu". It matches the Rfam family "tRNA". From Rfam's summary of the family: Transfer RNA (tRNA) molecules are approximately 80 nucleotides in length. Their secondary structure includes four short double-helical elements and three loops (D, anti-codon, and T loops). Further hydrogen bonds mediate the characteristic L-shaped molecular structure. tRNAs have two regions of fundamental functional importance: the anti-codon, which is responsible for specific mRNA codon recognition, and the 3' end, to which the tRNAs corresponding amino acid is attached (by aminoacyl-tRNA synthetases). tRNAs cope with the degeneracy of the genetic code in two manners: having more than one tRNA (with a specific anti-codon) for a particular amino acid; and 'wobble' base-pairing, i.e. permitting non-standard base-pairing at the 3rd anti-codon position. Lineage: Bacteria; Candidatus Moraniibacteriota. The record is from RNAcentral.
GCCGAGGUGGUGGAAUGGUAGACACACGGGACUCAAAAUCCCGCGAUAGCAAUAUCAUGAGGGUUCAAGUCCCUCCCUCGGCACCA